Molecule: ribosomal RNA, 314 nt
Filed under: Ixodes ricinus (castor bean tick)
Lineage: Eukaryota; Metazoa; Arthropoda; Arachnida; Ixodida; Ixodidae
Description: partial large subunit ribosomal RNA
Source: RNAcentral
AAAAGCUUUCUUUAAUUGAAUAAUUGAAUUUAAUUUUUUAGUGCAAAAGCAAAAAUAAAAAUUAGGGACAAGAAGACCCUAUGAAUUUUUUAUUAAAUUUUAUAAAACUUUAUAUAAAAUUUAAUUUAAUUGGGGUGAUGGAAAAAGAAUAAAUAUCUUUUUUUUUAAAAAAAAUUGGUUCCGUUUUUAGCGAUUAAAUGAAAAAAAUACUCUAGGGAUAACAGCGUAAUAAUUUUGGAUAGUUCAUAUANAUAAAAUAGUUUGCGACCUCGAUGUUGGAUUAGGAUUCUUUUUUGGUGAANAAGUUAAAAAAA